AUCCAGCCGACGAGUCCUAAACGGGACGAAAUGCACAUCUAAUAU
This is a non-coding RNA of Schistosoma margrebowiei, 45 nucleotides long. NCBI's taxonomy places the organism in Eukaryota, Metazoa, Platyhelminthes, Trematoda, Strigeidida, Schistosomatidae. The record is from Rfam.